CUGCGCAUGUGAAAACAUCCCCUUGCAACCUCCAACCCUGGGCAAGACAGAACAGGUUAUACAUCGUUAUUGAUCAUAGACAUAAUAUUGUUGGCAGUGUUAAAAAAUUACUACAAAAAUAUGGAACUCCACUAAUUCAGAUGAAUAUGCAAGAACGUGCUUACAUAUAUAGUAACCGAUAAUAUAGAAUCGAGAGGAUGACAUGUAAUGGAAUCAGAGAAAGAUUUAAAGCAAAAUUUUAUAAAAACGAACCUACAAGCAAAGCAAAUUUGUAAAGUUCCUCAGAGAUUUAAAAACUGGAUCUGUGUACAAAUAUUUGAACAGAAAGUUGAAAAAACUCUCGUGGGAGCAACCAAGCGUAUGCAAAGUGUCGACAAUUAUCGAUUCGAAAUACAUUUUAUAUAGAUUAAAUAUUCUAAAAACGGUUUAAGAUUUCUAUAGAUAUCGAUAGCAUAUGUAGAAAUAAAGUUAUAAUAAUAAAUAAAGUUCUAAUCUAUAUUUGUUCAGUAUU
This is a long non-coding RNA of Temnothorax curvispinosus, 511 nucleotides long. RefSeq lists it as uncharacterized. The record is from RefSeq and is a predicted model, not a curated record. Lineage: Eukaryota; Metazoa; Arthropoda; Insecta; Hymenoptera; Formicidae. The transcript has 2 exons.